RNAcentral lists this ribosomal RNA (447 nucleotides) under uncultured Bacteroides sp. Its description in RNAcentral is "partial 16S ribosomal RNA". It matches the Rfam family "Bacterial small subunit ribosomal RNA", at positions 341 to 785 of the family's 1533-position model. Lineage: Bacteria; Pseudomonadati; Bacteroidota; Bacteroidia; Bacteroidales; Bacteroidaceae. The record is from RNAcentral.
ACGGCAGGCAGCAGCGAGGAAUAUUGGUCAAUGGGCGGGAGCCUGAACUAGCCAAGUAGCGUGAGGGAUGACGGCCCUAUGGGUUGUAAACCUCUUUUGACAGGGAAUAAAGUGAGCCACGUGUGGUUCAUUGCAUGUACCUGUGGAAUAAGGAUCGGCUAACUCCGUGCCAGCAGCCGCGGGAAUACGGAGGAUCCGAGCGUUAUCCGGAUUUAUUGGGUUUAAAGGGAGCGUAGGCGGGAUGUCAAGUCAUCUGUGAAAUGUAGUCGCUCAACGUCUGCACUGCAGGUGAAACUGGGGUUCUUGAGUGCGUAAGAGGCAGGUGGAAUUCGUCGUGUAGCGGUGAAAUGCAUAGAUAUGACGAAGAACUCCGAUUGCGAAGGCAGCCUGCUGGGCCGCUACUGACGCUGAAGCUCGAAGGUGCGGGUAUCAAACAGGAUUAGAUAC